Molecule: long non-coding RNA, 2858 nt
Organism: Hyla sarda
Lineage: Eukaryota; Metazoa; Chordata; Amphibia; Anura; Hylidae
Exons: 3
Source: RefSeq, a predicted model, not a curated record
CCCCUGUCCCCUAUCUCCUCACACACAUCUCCCCUGCCAACCCCCUCCUCGGUGACUCGGUCUCCUCACACAGAUCUCCGCAGCCCCCCACCCUUCCCUUACACACAUCUCCACAGCGGGCCCCCCUGGCCGUGAGGCCCGGUCGCAGUUGCGACCCUUGCGACCUCUAUAGCUACGCCACUGCUGAAGGCAUUGUGUGUGUGGGAUAGAAGUUGGAGGCAUUUGGAGGGAGGCUGGAGGUUCUGCGGUAAAAAGUUGUGGCUGUAAGAAACUGUCGUGAUGACCAGGGCCAGAUGGAGAAGAAAAGGUAAAAGUGAACAACUCCGAUCAGAGAAGACAUCAUCAUGUCGAAAAUGUAUAUGGGCUGUCACAUCCUUUCCACGGUGUGCACUGGUGACCCACACAGUGAACAAAUGAGCAGAACAUAAUAUGUAGAAUAUACUUAAGCUAUAGAAAUCUCUUAAUAGAAUUCAUGAAUUGAAUAUUGUUAUAAAAAAAAAGGAUUUAACCUUGUAGCGAAUGCAAUCUUAUAGACUCUUCAUAUAAAGCAGAAAUGAGCUUUGUCUUUCUAGCACAGUCUUUAGCCUACCCAAGCCCCUUUCUCUGAAGACUUCAAUAAGGGAAAACAGGUCAGAGAAAGCUGCAUGAAAAAACAUCUAAACAUCUGUUGCUCUAAACAGUUCCUGACAUGGACAGAGGUGGCAGCAGAGAGCACUGUAGUCAGACUGGAAAGAACUACACAACUUCCUGUGGAGCAUGCAGCAGAUGAUAAGUUUUAAAUAGAAGUAAUUUUCAAAUCUGUGUAACUUUCUGACACCAGUUGAUUUGAAAACAUUUUUAUUCAUCUGGAGUACCACUUUAAAGGGUUAUUCUAUUCUAUACUUGAAGCAACAGAAAACCCAUCUUCUUUAGAACUUCUGCAGCUCAAAACACCAUCAUACAAAAUGUUAUAUAUGAUUUCCACCACUAAAGACUUUCUAUCAAUCUCAUAUGCAUCUUCUGAAUAUACUACAAUCAAUCAGCCUAACAUUAUGAAACUUAUAUUAAAGAUGUGCUCUGGGGAACUGAACUUAUCAGACACUUAUCUCCUAUCCACAGGAUACAGAAUAAUCAAUGGGGUGUCAGCUACUUGCCCGUCUUCUGAGUGCUCUGGCCCCCACCUUACUGGAUGUGCACAAGUGAUGGACCUCUUAGCCAAUCACUGACUGAGGCUUGACAUCAAAGCAGCCAAUGAUUGGUUGAGCAGGUUGUCACUUGCGCUCAUCCUAGAAGUUGGAGGUUGGAAUGUACCAAGGAUAGUCCCAGCGGUCUGACCCCUCGUAGUCAGACACUCGUCUCCUAGCCCAUGGAGUUAAGUGUCUGAUAAGUUCAGCUCUCCGGAGUAUCUGUUUUAUAACAAAUGUGCAGCAUAAAUACUCUAGAACUGUAGAAAAAUGUAUGGACUGCACAUCCGUUUUAUACAGUGAUCUAUUGCUACUAAGCCAUUUUUAGAAAUGAACAUGAAAUCCUUCAUAUACAUUUUGUUGAAACUGUGGAGCAACUAUUGAAACAUUUAAUUGAAAGGCGUAAAAUGUAAAUGAGAUCAGUGUUUCCAUCCACCUACUGCAACAAAAUGCCAGACACUACACAACACGCUCUGAUGUACCCAUCUCUGGUAGCAUGUUUCCCCUCUGGGUAGAAUGUUCACCAUAAAUAUGGAUAAAUAUAAACAUAUAAUGUUAAAUUAAAAAUAGUUUCCUGACACGGUGAAUAUAUCACGAAUGAUGUGUGACAUUUAUGUAGGGCUGUUGUCAUAUCCUUUCCAUUGUGGCCUGUGGUCACCUACGCUAAACAAGUGGGCAGAAAAUCCUAUUUCUACAAUGCCCUUGUGUGCUUUUUUUUGGUAAUUUUACAUUGUACUUUCUUGUUAGGCUGCAUAGACAGUGUUUAUUACAAAAAAAUACUUUGACAAUGGACAUAUUUAUUAACCCCUGAAGGGCACAGCAUACUGCCCUUAGGACACAACAAGUUUACUUUUUAGCAUUUUCUUUUUUACUCCUCGCAUUUUAUGAGACAUUACUCUUUUAUUUUUCCACCACAGACCCAUAUGAGGACUUGUUUUGUGUGUGACUAAUUGUACUUUGUAAUGACAUCUUUCAUUUUACCGCAAACAAUACAGCACAAAUAAAAACCUGGUGGGUAAACAAACCUCUUGCAUACCUAUUGCAGGGGUGCCAAUCAGUUCUCUAACGUGGAAGAUAGAUGUAAACCCACUCACAUGUUUAUGUUUCAAGACGUGCAUUGAUAUCUAUGAUCAAAGCAUGGAAGCAUGGAACAGAGAAGGCCAUCUAAUGAUAGCACUCUAUUCUCUACAUUAGAAGGAAGUGACUGGCCCUCAUUUACUUAGAAAAUCGGGUUGUAAGUCUAUGUUGCUUUCUUACCCGACUGCUUUUUUCCCCUGGUAUUUAUUAUUAUGUCGCAUCCUGUUUGUCGCACGUGGGUUUUGUUGGUUUUGGUUUCCAACUCCUCUGAGUUGUCGGGAAAAAAUCCACAACAAUUCAACAAAUUCGGGUUGGAAACCUUUAUAAAUACGUGGGAAAGCUCAGAAAUGUCAGGUUACAUCCCUUUUUCGGGUUUGGGAGAAUCCACAUCGGGUCCGUUGGGAAAAAAUGUCGCAUCGUGUCGUAGACUGGCGCACGAUGUCUGCGACAUGUCGCAGACAAAGAUGCGCCAAAAAAAACCCAACAAAACAAGUCGGGUUUAGAAUAGUAAAUGAGGGCCACUGUUUUCAUAGUAAUGUCUUUCUGUCUUGAUAGUUGAAAGCCACAGAGACCUGUAACAUGAGCCACAUGACAUUACCCAAAAAGUUUCUUGGUAGG